This 596-nucleotide ribosomal RNA is filed under the name Ionaspis ventosa. Its description in RNAcentral is "eukaryotic LSU rRNA". The stretch from base 221 to 374 matches the Rfam family "5.8S ribosomal RNA". Lineage: Eukaryota; Fungi; Ascomycota; Lecanoromycetes; Hymeneliales; Hymeneliaceae. The record is from RNAcentral.
CAUAGCUAACUUGAAAAUAGGUGAACCUGCGGAAGGAUCNUUACCGANAUAGGGUCCCCCGGGGCCCGAACCUCCCACCCCUGNUUAUUCCUACCCUGUUGCUUUGGNGGACCUGCGGGGUCGCUACCCGCCGUCGGCCACGGUUGACNAGCGCCCGUCAAAGGCCCCUAUGUGANUCACUCUUUACCGUGACGUCUGAGUCUCAUGACCAAUCGAAUAAAACUUUCAACAACGGAUCUCUUGGNUCUGGCAUCGAUGAAGAACGCAGCGAAAUGCGAUAAGUAAUGUGAAUUGCAGAAUUCAGUGAAUCAUCGAAUCUUUGAACGCAUAUUGCACCCCCUGGNAUUCCGGGGGGUAUGCCUGUCCGAGCGUCNUUGCNCCCCUCAAGCCCGGCUUGGUAUUGGGCUGUCGUCCCCGGGGGCGUACCCAAAAAUCAACGGCGGUGCGGNUGGGCCUCGAGCGUAGUGACAAACUAAACGUUUUCNCUUCGAUGGACCCCGCUGUGCUAGCCGGACAACCCACCCGCAAUUUCUCACGGUUGACCUCGGAUCAGGUAGGGAUACCCGCUGAACUUAANCAUAUCAAUAAGCGGAGGA